UGGCAGCCAGUUAAGCUGACUGUGCUCUUUCCCCAUGGGGACCCAGUGUGCAAUGGCUACAGACAACAGCCUUCUUGGUAGUGUCUGCAGCUUGUUACCCAUACAGGUUGCCCUAAGGGACCUUGGAGACAACU
Molecule: small nucleolar RNA, 134 nt
Organism: Capra hircus (goat)
Lineage: Eukaryota; Metazoa; Chordata; Mammalia; Artiodactyla; Bovidae
Gene: SNORA70
Rfam family: Small nucleolar RNA SNORA70
About the family: snoRNA U70 seems to be exclusive to mammals and is a member of the H/ACA class of snoRNA which contain H (ANANNA) and ACA box motifs. H/ACA box snoRNAs are involved in the conversion of uridines to pseudouridines (5-ribosyluracil) a constituent of structural RNAs (transfer, ribosomal, small nuclear, and small nucleolar).
Source: Ensembl